CUUGGGCUACACACGUGCUACAAUGGCUAUUACAAAGAGUUGCAAGUUGGUAACAGCAAGCUAAUCUCAAAAAAAUAGUCUCAGUUCGGAUUGUGGGCUGCAACCCGCCCACAUGAAGUCGGAGUUGCUAGUAAUCCCGAAUCAGCAUGUCGGGGUGAAUGCGUUCCCGGGUCUUGUACACGCCGCCCGUCACACCAUGGAAGUUGGGGGUGCCCGAAGUCGGUUAACAAAUCUAUCGCCUAAGGCAAAACCAAUGACUGGGGUGAAGUCGUAACAAGGUAGCCGUAUCGGAAGGUGCGGCUGGAUCACCUCCUU
Molecule: ribosomal RNA, 315 nt
Filed under: uncultured bacterium
Lineage: Bacteria
Description: bacterial SSU rRNA
Rfam family: Bacterial small subunit ribosomal RNA
Source: RNAcentral